Molecule: long non-coding RNA, 1414 nt
Organism: Heterocephalus glaber (naked mole-rat)
Lineage: Eukaryota; Metazoa; Chordata; Mammalia; Rodentia; Bathyergidae
Source: Ensembl
GUUCUCUGAGAAAUAGAAUAGUAUGCUGUUGGAAUGCUGUUGCUACAGUGAAAUUAUAGUCCUGCCUUGUUACUCAACAGCUUUGAAACUUGCUGAAUUUGGUACUAGGAUGCAUUCUGAUAUGAAAAUAUUGUACCAGUACUACAUAUACAAGCUACAACUUGUUGAUGUCACUUGCUUUAUGACUACUCUUUCCAGCCAAAACAAUUUGGAACUUGUUUUUGGUACUAGUUGCCUCCUGGAACAAAUUAAAGAUCACUACCAAGAUAUCACUGUAGUUGGGCAUGGUGGUGCAGGCCUGUAGCUCCACCUGAGGCAGGAGGGUUGCUAUGAGUUCAAGGCCAGCCUGCACUAUGAAGUGAGACCCUGUGUCAAAAAACCCAAGACCCUCCCCCAAACCAAACAAAAAUACCACUGUAGUUGUAAUUAAGUCCGUCUUGUGAUUUGCUAAUUUCACUCAUUUAAUUUUAGUUAAACCAUCUAAAUUUAGCAUUCCCUGUGAAAUUUGACUUAGAUUAUCUAAAUUCACAGUAUCUACUGUGUGUCAAGAAUUUUCACCGAUCUUAGAAACACAGGGAACAAAACAAAGUAUCCUUUUAGAGCUGAGAGCUAUAUAUCUGCUCAGAGCAGGAUAUUUACUACACAGGAAAACCAACUAAAGGUGAAAUGUAUUAAAAUAGAGUCACUUGGCCAUGAGGUCACAAACUUUGUGCCACACAAACACUACUAUACUGGGGCACAAUACAGGUAAUCAGGAUAACUCAAACCCUAUGGGAGAUUGGAAUCUAUAAAAUUUAAUGCCAAUAAAAUAUUGAAAUUAUUUUAACAUAAUAGAUUUUCUCAAUUUACUCAGUUCUUUGAAAAGUUAGUGAAUAAUUUUAUUAAAUUUUCUGAAAACAAGCUAAGAAAAGGUUAAGGAUGUAGCUCAUUUGCACAAAUCUUGCCUUGCACACAUGAGGUCCUAGCAUCGAGUCCCUGCAUUGCAAAAAACAAGAUGUAAUUUGAAAGAUGUCAUUUGCAGUCUGUUUUGGCAUAAUUGUGAGUAAUCAUAGCUUUCAUGAGGGAUAAGUGGGUACAUAAAUGUUUAUUCAUAAAGUAAAAUGUUACUGUCUAAGCCACUGACAAUAAUAAAAUCAUAUUUCAUCUCAAGAAUUGUGUAAUGAUGUUAUGCACUUGACACUCAUUUAAAUUUUGGCAUUGUCAGAUAUUUUCCAACUGGGUUUUCUUUGAAUUGAAGUGCAAGACCAGGGCCAGGUAUCUAUUCACAUUUUGUAUGGCCAUUUAAUUCAACUCCAGACUUGAAAGCUUUGUUCUCUCAGCAGGGCCUGUGAUGUUAGGACGUUCACUGAAUUUUGUUCAAUCAUGAAAUUUGUCCAUUCAGGAUUUAAUUUAAAAAUUAAUAAAACACUACCCA